Molecule: unclassified non-coding RNA, 264 nt
Filed under: Hevea brasiliensis (rubber tree)
Lineage: Eukaryota; Viridiplantae; Streptophyta; Magnoliopsida; Malpighiales; Euphorbiaceae
Source: RNAcentral
GGUGAUUUGCUACACAGCAGCAAAAGUGGCCUUCUAGACUGGCCUAUGAGAUAUAAGAUAGCCAUGGAUGCAGCUGAGGGACUCUCCUACUUGCAUCAUGACUGUGCUCCACCUAUCGUUCACAGAGAUGUUAAGUCAAAUAACAUCUUGCUGGAUGGUGAGUUCGGAGCUCGUGUUGCUGACUUCGGUGUUGCAAAGGCGGUCGAAGCUAAUGCUAAGGCAAUCAAGUCCAUGUCUGUUAUUGCAGGGUCUUGUGGUUACAUU